This 408-nucleotide ribosomal RNA is filed under the name uncultured bacterium. RNAcentral describes it as "bacterial SSU rRNA". It matches the Rfam family "Bacterial small subunit ribosomal RNA", at positions 28 to 437 of the family's 1533-position model. The record is from RNAcentral.
GAUGAACGCUAGCGGCAGGCCUAAUACAUGCAAGUCGAGGGGUAGAGUUAGCUUGCUAACUUGAGACCGGCGCACGGGUGCGUAACGCGUAUGCAACCUACCUUUAUCUGGGGGAUAGCCCGAAGAAAUUCGGAUUAACACCGCAUAAAAUCACAGUAUCGCAUGAUACAAUGAUCAAAUAUUUAUAGGAUAAAGAUGGGCAUGCGUGUCAUUAGUUAGUUGGCGGGUAACGGCCCACCAAGACCACGAUGACUAGGGGAUCUGAGAGGAUGACCCCCACACUGGUACUGAGACACGGACCAGACUCCUACGGGAGGCAGCAGUAAGGAAUAUUGGUCAAAUGGAGGCAACUCUGAACCAGCCAUGCCGCGUGCAGGAAGACGGCCCUCUGGGUUGUAAACUGCUUUU